GACGAACGCUGGCGGCGUGGAUUAGGCAUGCAAGUCGGACGGUAGAGCUUUAUCGUAAGAUAGAGUUUGAGAGUGGCGAACGGGUGAGUAACACGUAGGAAUCUACCCUUAAGACGGGGGACAACCCAGGGAAACUUGGGCUAAUACCGGAUGAGAGUGCGAGAGAUUGCAUUUAAAAGGAUGGCGAAAGUUGUCGCUUAGGGAUGAGCCUGCGGUCUAUUAGUUAGUUGGUGAGGUAAGAGCUCACCAAGGCGAUGAUAGAUAGGCGGCCUUAACGGGUGGUCGCCCACACUGGGAUUGAGAUACGGCCCAGACUCCUACGGGAGGCAGCAGUCGAGAAUAGUCUACAAUGGCCGGAAGGCUGAUAGUGCGACGCCGCGUGAACGAUGAAUCCCUUCGGGGUGUAAAGUUCUUUUAUAUGUGAGCAGUGCUUCUUAUAUUAACAGUAUGGGGAGAGAGAUAUUAGCAUAUGAAUAAGCAACGGCUAAACUCCGUGCC
This 498-nucleotide ribosomal RNA is filed under the name uncultured bacterium. RNAcentral's name for it is "bacterial SSU rRNA". It matches the Rfam family "Bacterial small subunit ribosomal RNA", at positions 28 to 509 of the family's 1533-position model. The record is from RNAcentral.